ACUUCAGCCGAGCUCCUACAGUGGACGGAUCCCAAACGAGUUUCUACGAUGGGAUAGGCUCCACCGGUCAGGUCACUACUCCGAGCUCCCAUGACAACAGAUCUUCGAUCGAGCUUCUACAAUAAGCGAUCUCCUUUCAGCCUUCUACAAGAAUCGGACUCCAUCCGAACUUUCAUAGCAUAUGGAUAUUGGACGAACUUCUACGACGGACGGGCUCCAGCAGCUGGAUUUCUGCAACGAUCGACCAUCUCCAGUGUCUGUCGAACCUCUCCAGCCCUCAAUUUUCAAUAGCGUCAGUCAGACUUCAACAACGCCAAUCGAACUCCCACAGGAUUCUCCAGGCUCCUCCAGCGGACGAACUUCCACAAC
RNAcentral lists this long non-coding RNA (369 nucleotides) under Elaeis guineensis (African oil palm). RNAcentral describes it as "long non-coding RNA (EGUI_LNC059698)". Lineage: Eukaryota; Viridiplantae; Streptophyta; Magnoliopsida; Arecales; Arecaceae. The record is from RNAcentral.